RNAcentral lists this long non-coding RNA (272 nucleotides) under Elaeis guineensis (African oil palm). RNAcentral describes it as "long non-coding RNA (EGUI_LNC056443)". Lineage: Eukaryota; Viridiplantae; Streptophyta; Magnoliopsida; Arecales; Arecaceae. The record is from RNAcentral.
GACCAUGAGUACUGUUUGAAUUCCAUUGAUGAUUGCCUUGGAAACUCACUGACUAGGCAUUCCAAAGGGAUGUUUAAGAGAAGAGACUGAGAUAAUAUGAAGACUAUUGGGGGAUAAUAUCUUGGCUACACCAAAGAUGGACUACAACAAAGGUCCAAGGCCUCUCGCUCUUUAGCGAGCAGAUCCAAGACCCCUAGAAAUCAAAAUGGAUACUUUCAUUCUUUGUGCAGGUCUACGAUGGCCUAAUAAUAUUUUUUGUCUGUGAGCAAGCU